CCUGGCUUAGGACGAACGCUGGCGGCGUGCCUAAUACAUGCAAGUCGAACGGUCUUUCUAUGGAAGCUUGCUUCCACUGAGAAGAUAGUGGCGAACGGGUGAGUAACACGUGGGUAACCUGCCCAUAAGAGGGGGAUAACAUCCGGAAACGGGUGCUAAUACCGCAUAGUUUUCUUGAUCGCAUGAUCGGGAAAGGAAAGACGGCCUUUGUGCUGUCGCUUAUGGAUGGACCCGCGGCGUAUUAGUUAGUUGGUGAGGUAACGGCUCACCAAGACGAUGAUACGUAGCCGACCUGAGAGGGUGAUCGGCCACAUUGGGACUGAGACACGGCCCAAACUCCUACGGGAGGCAGCAGUAGGGAAUCUUCCGCAAUGGACGAAAGUCUGACGGAGCAACGCCGCGUGAGUGAAGAAGGUUUUUUCGGAUCGUAAAACUCUGUUGUCAGAGAAGAACAAGUUGGAGAGUAACUGCUCCAGCCUUGACGGUAUCUGACCAGAAAGCCACGGCUAACUACGUGCCAGCAGCUGC
This 528-nucleotide ribosomal RNA is filed under the name uncultured bacterium. RNAcentral describes it as "bacterial SSU rRNA". It matches the Rfam family "Bacterial small subunit ribosomal RNA", at positions 18 to 518 of the family's 1533-position model. The record is from RNAcentral.